This 253-nucleotide ribosomal RNA is filed under the name uncultured bacterium. RNAcentral's name for it is "partial 16S ribosomal RNA". It matches the Rfam family "Bacterial small subunit ribosomal RNA", at positions 524 to 776 of the family's 1533-position model. The record is from RNAcentral.
GACGAACCGUGCGAACGUUGUUCGGAAUCACUGGGCUUAAAGCGUGUGUAGGCGGGUUGGUAAGUAUCUUGUGAAAUCCCACGGCUUAACCGUGGAAUUGCUGGGUAUACUGCCGAUCUUGAGUCAUCUAGAGGUAACCGGAACAGAUGGUGGAGCGGUGAAAUGCAUAGAUAUCAUCUGGAACGCCAAUGGUGCAGACAGGUUACUGGGGAUGUACUGACGCUGAGGCACGAAAGCCAGGGGAGCAAACGGG